RNAcentral lists this ribosomal RNA (319 nucleotides) under Escherichia coli. RNAcentral's name for it is "bacterial SSU rRNA". It matches the Rfam family "Bacterial small subunit ribosomal RNA", at positions 1 to 314 of the family's 1533-position model. Lineage: Bacteria; Pseudomonadati; Pseudomonadota; Gammaproteobacteria; Enterobacterales; Enterobacteriaceae. The record is from RNAcentral.
UUAAAUUGAAGAGUUUGAUCAUGGCUCAGAUUGAACGCUGGCGGCAGGCCUAACACAUGCAAGUCGAACGGUAACAGGAAGAAGCUUGCUUCUUUGCUGACGAGUGGCGGACGGGUGAGUAAUGUCUGGGAAACUGCCUGAUGGAGGGGGAUAACUACUGGAAACGGUAGCUAAUACCGCAUAACGUCGCAAGACCAAAGAGGGGGACCUUCGGGCCUCUUGCCAUCGGAUGUGCCCAGAUGGGAUUAGCUAGUAGGUGGGGUAACGGCUCACCUAGGCGACGAUCCCUAGCUGGUCUGAGAGGAUGACCAGCCACACU